UGGUGCUGUUGGACUCAUGAAGGCUGAUGUGGUCUCCUAACUUGGAGAGAAAAUCCCCUAACUGGGAUUUUCUGUGAUACUUGUUACUGGAGUUCAUCAGUGUGACUGAGGAAGACCAUCUGUCAUUAAUGAAGGAAGUAACUUGGGCAGUGAAUGGCCUGGUUCUUUGUAAUGAUGUCAACUGACGAAAAUGACUAAUUUCCAACUGCAUAAAGAAAAUAAGAGAAGACCUCAUAGUUUUAGUAUUUAAGAACUGCACAGGGUAGGAUGGCUUGACAUUGUUGCAUCACAGAAUCAAUUUGAAAAGUUUCAUGAAAAAUGAAUUCUUUUGGUCAGACGAUUGCCAUUGCUGUCAUCAAAAAAGUAACUUGUGGGCUAUCUGUCUUGGACUUUAUUCCAGAGAAUGACAGUUUCUCUGCUCGACAAAUGCCUGCAGAAUUCCAUGCUUACAGAAUUCGAUCACACUUUUGCGUGGACCUCUAUGGGUCCCCUAAGAAGGCAUCAGCCCCUCAGGAGCAAGGAUAUACAUCCAAGGAGUUCUAUUGGCCCUGCACCAGUGAUUAAAGUCUGCAAACUGUUGCAAACGGAUUGGGAUUACAUCAUAGAAUUAUCCGCAGUUGGUAGAAAAAUGUUUUCAGAAAAUGCUAUUAUAAAGUUGGCAUGAUGGAGAACAGUAUAUCAAAAUCUUCAUCUUUGUUUGCAGACAGGUAUAUGGAAAUUGCAAAGACCCAGGGAAUGCACUACUUGAAUAAAAAAUAACUGAGAAAUCUAACUGGAGCAGUGACAAAAACAUUAUUGCACAUGAUUAAACAAAGACUUCAGUACUGGAAAUACUUCAAGCCGUGAGACCGCAGUCUCCGCUACAUGGAUUUGGAUUUAAAAAAGCACGAGAAAUUAGAAGAACACCAGUA
Long non-coding RNA from Nothoprocta perdicaria, 911 nucleotides. RefSeq lists it as uncharacterized. The record is from RefSeq and is a predicted model, not a curated record. The transcript is spliced from 7 exons. NCBI's taxonomy places the organism in Eukaryota, Metazoa, Chordata, Aves, Tinamiformes, Tinamidae.